AUACUUACCUAUAGGAGAAAUACCAUGCUCAUGAAGGUGGUUUUCCUAGGGUGAGGCUUCACCAUUGCACCUCGUUGGGGUUGACUCCUAUGAUUUCACCAAAUGUGGAAACAUCAACUGCAUAAUUUAUGCUAGUGGGGAACUGCAUUCACACUAUUUUAG
This is a small nuclear RNA of Protopterus annectens (West African lungfish), 162 nucleotides long. RefSeq annotates it as U1 spliceosomal RNA. The transcript has a single exon. The record is from RefSeq and is a predicted model, not a curated record. Lineage: Eukaryota; Metazoa; Chordata; Ceratodontiformes; Protopteridae.